UGCCACUCUUAACGGGGUGGCUUUUCAGAAGUGUAAAAAGCUUCUGGAAUAAGGGCUGGGCAAGACCGGUGCCAGCCGCCGCGGUAACACCGGCAGCUCAAGUGGUAGCCGCUUUUAUUGGGCCUAAAGCGUCCGUAGCCGGUCUGAUAAGUCUCUGGUGAAAUCCCACAGCUUAACUGUGGGAAUUGCUGGAGAUACUAUCAUGACUCGAGGUCGGGAGAGGCUGGAGGUACUCCCAGGGUAGGGGUGAAAUCCUGUAAUCCUGGGAGGACCACCUGUGGCGAAGGCGUCCAGCUGGAACGAACCUGACGGUGAGGGACGAAAGCCAGGGGCGCGAACCGGAUUAGAUACCCGGGUAGUCCUGGCCGUAAACGAUGUGGACUUGGUGUUGAGAUGGCUUCUAGCUGCCCCAGUGCCGAAAGGGAAGCUGUUAAGUCCACCGCCUGGGAAGUACGGCCGCA
Molecule: ribosomal RNA, 461 nt
Filed under: uncultured archaeon
Lineage: Archaea
Description: bacterial SSU rRNA
Rfam family: Archaeal small subunit ribosomal RNA
Source: RNAcentral